UGGGCGCAGCCUGAUGCAGCCAUGCCGCGUGUGUGAAGAAGGCCUUCGGGUUGUAAAGCACUUUCAGUCGUGAGGAAGGUAGUGUAGUUAAUAGCUGCAUUAUUUGACGUUAGCGACAGAAGAAGCACCGGCUAACUCCGUGCCAGCAGCCGCGGUAAUACGGAGGGUGCGAGCGUUAAUCGGAAUUACUGGGCGUAAAGCGCAUGCAGGUGGUUUGUUAAGUCAGAUGUGAAAGCCCGGGGCUCAACCUCGGAAUAGCAUUUGAAACUGGCAGACUAGAGUACUGUAGAGGGGGGUAGAAUUUCAGGUGUAGCGGUGAAAUGCGUAGAGAUCUGAAGGAAUACCGGUGGCGAAGGCGGCCCCCUGGACAGAUACUGACACUCAGAUGCGAAAGCGUGGGGAGCAAACAGGAUUAGAUACCCUGGUAGUCCACGCCGUAAACGAUGUCUACUUGGAGGUUGUGGCCUUGAGCCGUGGCUUUCGGAGCUAACGCGUUAAGUAGACCGCCUGGGGAGUACGGUCGCAAGAUUAAAACUCAAAUGAAUUGACGGGGGCCCGCACAAGCGGUGGAGCAUGUGGUUUAAUUCGAUGCAACGCGAAGAACCUUACCUACUCUUGACAUCCAGAGAACUUUCCAGAGAUGGAUUGGUGCCUUCGGGAACUCUGAGACAGGUGCUGCAUGGCUGUCGUCAGCUCGUGUUGUGAAAUGUUGGGUUAAGUCCCGCAACGAGCGCAACCCUUAUCCUUGUUUGCCAGCACUUCGGGUGGGAACUCCAGGGAGACUGCCGGUGAUAAACCGGAGGAAGGUGGGGACGACGUCAAGUCAUCAUGGCCCUUA
This 838-nucleotide ribosomal RNA is filed under the name Vibrio proteolyticus. RNAcentral describes it as "bacterial SSU rRNA". It matches the Rfam family "Bacterial small subunit ribosomal RNA", at positions 372 to 1204 of the family's 1533-position model. The record is from RNAcentral. Lineage: Bacteria; Pseudomonadati; Pseudomonadota; Gammaproteobacteria; Vibrionales; Vibrionaceae.